UACGGGGGGUGCGAGCGUUGUCCGGAAUCACUGGGCGUAAAGGGCGCGUAGGUGGUUUGAUAAGGGUGUGGUGAAAGUCCGGGGCUCAACCCCGGAUCUGCCGUGCCGACUGUCAAACUCGAGGACUGUAGAGGCAGACGGAAUUCCCGGUGUAGCGGUGAAAUGCGUAGAGAUCGGGAGGAACACCAGUGGCGAAGGCGGCUACCUGGACCAGCACUGACACUGAGGCACGAAAGCGUGGGGAGCAAACAGG
RNAcentral lists this ribosomal RNA (253 nucleotides) under uncultured bacterium. RNAcentral describes it as "partial 16S ribosomal RNA". It matches the Rfam family "Bacterial small subunit ribosomal RNA", at positions 524 to 776 of the family's 1533-position model. The record is from RNAcentral.